ACGCUGGCGGCGUGCCUAAUACAUGCAAGUCGAGCGAGCGGAACUAACAGAUUUACUUCGGUAAUGACGUUAGGAAAGCGAGCGGCGGAUGGGUGAGUAACACGUGGGGAACCUGCCCCAUAGUCUGGGAUACCACUUGGAAACAGGUGCUAAUACCGGAUAAGAAAGCAGAUCGCAUGAUCAGCUUUUAAAAGGCGGCGUAAGCUGUCGCUAUGGGAUGGCCCCGCGGUGCAUUAGCUAGUUGGUAAGGUAAAGGCUUACCAAGGCGAUGAUGCAUAGCCGAGUUGAGAGACUGACCGGCCACAUUGGGACUGAGACACGGCCCAAACUCCUACGGGAGGCAGCAGUAGGGAAUCUUCCACAAUGGACGCAAGUCUGAUGGAGCAACGCCGCGUGAGUGAAGAAGGUUUUCGGAUCGUAAAGCUCUGUUGUUGGUGAAGAAGGAUAGAGGUAGUAACUGGCCUUUAUUUGACGGUAAUCAACCAGAAAGUCACGGCUAACUACGUGCCAGCAGCCGCGGUAAUACGUAGGUGGCAAGCGUUGUCCGGAUUUAUUGGGCGUAAAGCGAGCGCAGGCGGAAGAAUAAGUCUGAUGUGAAAGCCCUCGGCUUAACCGAGGAACUGCAUCGGAAACUGUUUUUCUUGAGUGCAGAAGAGGAGAGUGGAACUCCAUGUGUAGCGGUGGAAUGCGUAGAUAUAUGGAAGAACACCAGUGGCGAAGGCGGCUCUCUGGUCUGCAACUGACGCUGAGGCUCGAAAGCAUGGGUAGCGAACAGGAUUAGAUACCCUGGUAGUCCAUGCCGUAAACGAUGAGUGCUAAGUGUUGGGAGGUUUCCGCCUCUCAGUGCUGCAGCUAACGCAUUAAGCACUCCGCCUGGGGAGUACGACCGCAAGGUUGAAACCCAAAGGAAUUGACGGGGGCCCGCACAAGCGGUGGAGCAUGUGGUUUAAUUCGAAGCAACGCGAAGAACCUUACCAGGUCUUGACAUCUAGUGCCAUUUGUAGAGAUACAAAGUUCCCUUCGGGGACGCUAAGACAGGUGGUGCAUGGCUGUCGUCAGCUCGUGUCGUGAGAUGUUGGGUUAAGUCCCGCAACGAGCGCAACCCUUGUUAUUAGUUGCCAGCAUUAAGUUGGGCACUCUAAUGAGACUGCCGGUGACAAACCGGAGGAAGGUGGGGAUGACGUCAAGUCAUCAUGCCCCUUAUGACCUGGGCUACACACGUGCUACAAUGGGCAGUACAACGAGAAGCGAGCCUGCGAAGGCAAGCGAAUCUCUGAAAGCUGUUUUCAGUUCGGACUGCAGUCUGCAACUCGACUGCACGAAGCUGGAAUCGCUAGUAAUCGCGGAUCAGCACGCCGCGGUGAAUACGUUCCCGGGCCU
RNAcentral lists this ribosomal RNA (1380 nucleotides) under uncultured bacterium. RNAcentral's name for it is "16S ribosomal RNA". It matches the Rfam family "Bacterial small subunit ribosomal RNA", at positions 33 to 1381 of the family's 1533-position model. The record is from RNAcentral.